GACGAACGCUGGCGGCGUGCCUAACACAUGCAAGUCGAACGGAACUGUUUUGAAAGAUUUCUUCGGAAUGAAUUUGAUUUAGUUUAGUGGCGGACGGGUGCGUAACGCGUGAGUAACCUGCCUUCAAGAGGGGAAUAACAUUCUGAAAAGAAUGCUAAUACCGCAUGACAUAUCGGAACCACAUGGUUUUGAUAUCAAAGAUUUUAUCGCUUGAAGAUGGACUCGCGUCCGAUUAGUUAGUUGGUGAGGUAACGGCUCACCAAGACCGCGAUCGGUAGCCGGACUGGGAGGUUGAACGGCCACAUUGGGACUGAGGCACGGCCCAGACUCCUACGGGAGGCAGCAGUGGGAGAUAUUGCGCAAUGGGGGCAACCCUGACGCAGCAACGCCGCGUGAAGGAUGAAGGUGUUCGGAUUGUAAACUUCUUUUAUUAAGGACGAAAAAUGACGGUACUUAAUGAAUAAGCUCCGGCUAACUACGUG
RNAcentral lists this ribosomal RNA (482 nucleotides) under uncultured bacterium. Its description in RNAcentral is "partial 16S ribosomal RNA". It matches the Rfam family "Bacterial small subunit ribosomal RNA", at positions 28 to 507 of the family's 1533-position model. The record is from RNAcentral.